CGAACUGGGAUUUGGCAAGAGUCAGCAAACCGCUGCAGUUUGUAUACUCACUGCUGUUCGUUGAUUGUGCAAAGCGGGAACAAGCCAUUAGCAAGCGAGAAAGAUCCUGUCAAGUUGUCGUGAAGUUGACGGGGCGCUGAUUAAGGGGUUUCGAAUUUCUUAAUUAAGAAACGGAGUCUGCGACAUCGAACCUCGGCCUCAACGCGUUUCGGAGCGGAGAACUCCACCCCCACGACUUCUCGAAGCGCUUCACCGAAUAUACUGCGAAGUGGAGUGACUGUGUAUUUCAAGGGUGAAACACGUGGGGCAGCAGCACUGAAACGUUUCCAUCUCACUUACAGUCACGCGAGGGGAAAGAAGCCAAGAGCUAAAUUGUUGGCAAUUAAAAUGCACAACAGCUGGA
Callorhinchus milii (elephant shark) is the source of this 403-nucleotide long non-coding RNA. RefSeq lists it as uncharacterized. Lineage: Eukaryota; Metazoa; Chordata; Chondrichthyes; Chimaeriformes; Callorhinchidae. The transcript has 3 exons. The record is from RefSeq and is a predicted model, not a curated record.